AAAGAGAACUUUUAUUGGUUAUAUACUGUAGAGCUUGACAGUGUUUGAGUCAGGAGCGACAUGCAGGUAAAGUGUGUGCUUACAUUUGGCAUGCAGACUUAAGAGCACUGUGUAACUGGAAGGAAGUAAGCACCAUCUGUAUCCACUGCAUGGGCAGCCUGGGGAGGAAAGAUCUGGCUUCCCUCGACUUGAGCAUGCUGAGAAAGGGAGAGUUCUGAGGGUGGAACAGUGCUGAUAGCUCUGUUGGACCAAAGUUUGUUUCAGGGAAAUAGGCAAUACUGUAACCCCAGCAAAUCUGCUUCACUUGGCUGAGUCUGUGAUUAUGACAUUCUUGCAUGAUUUGUUUCCUAACUAAGCUGCCCCAAAUAGAUGUCUGCAAAUACAAAAAAUAGAUUUAUUCUCUUAAAAAUACAUUCCAUGCAGCCUCAAGUUCUGCUUCACCAAGGCAGGAGCCUGCACUGCAUGCUGGGCAGCCUGGGAACACGAUCCUUUGGGUCCUUGGGUUACUGACCAUCAGAGGCAUCGGCAAACAAGGGCUUCACGUUUCAUCAGGUGCAGCACAGUCCCCGAGGGAUGUCUGGGGAGUGUUUCCACGGCUCCAGUGAUGUGCAAGAGUGGCAGAGAUAAGGUCUGUGGUAUUAGACAUGACACCAAGGUGACUAUUGCUUUGAUCUGUAGCUGGGACGUUGCUCAUGUCGAGUGUCCCUUGGAGCAGAGGUGGGCAUCCUGCCCUGGGCAUCCUGCCCUCUGCCUCUCCUGGCGCUGCCCUUGCGGGACGACUGUGCCUCAGCCCCAUCCAUGUCCCUGGAGCCUGAGCAGCUGCAGAGGCAUCACACACUGCUUCUAGACACGAAGGCAGCUGCUGAAGCAACAUGCUGAUGGACCUCUCAGGCUGGUGCCAUUCUGGGGGCAAGCUGCUGACUUUCCCAAGGGGCCCAGAGCCCCCUUUUCCUUGGGAGAAGCAAACACUCACACGCUUCCUCUGUACAGCAAAUACAUUUACAACUUUGGAAUGACCCGAGUGCUUUAUGUGCAGCCUCGUGGCACCAUCAAACCUACUUGAAAAGCCUGUUAUAUAUUUAUAUGCAAAAAAAACAACUUACAAGCACUUCUUCAGCAAUGGCAAUAUUUACACAUAGACUAUGUUACAGCUGUUUGAAAAACAAAGUGUGCAAUUUGAAUCAAACACAUUGUGUUUCCUGAACUCAUUGCUGUAAGUUUAACAAUACAAUCAGCUACUAUUGCACUCACCAUUAGAGGGCAUGGCCCCUUUCAAUUUUAAGAUGGGUUUUUGUUUCUCAGGUUUAAUCUCAGUUGUGGUAAAAACAACCCUGUGUACAGUUACUGAGUGACAUCUGUGUUUCAUUAUUUACAAGCAGUGAGACUGAGUCUAGAGCAAGAGUUCAUGGUAUGAGCUGUGAAAUAUUCUGAGGCAGCUGGAGAAAGGAGAGACAUCACCUGUGAGAAGCACCUGAGGAGAGCAGACAGUGCCAGAGGAGCUGCAUUGGAUCUCAAGGGCUGGAAGGGACCUGGAAAGCUCAUCCAGUGCAACCCCCUGCCAUGCAGCACCACCUCGAGCAGGUCACACAGGAGCUCAUCCAGGGAGUACCAUUGUUCAGAGUGGUCAUGCAGUCAAGGUCUCCAUAUGGAGACAGAUCUGUAACCCUAUGGAGAAGAUUAAGAUUGCAGGUACAGAGAAGAGAAGUUGGAAAUCCCCUGAGCAACGUCUCUGCAGCUGCGUCUUCAGCAACAAAGAAAAAGAAUUCACUGGCAAAGCUCCUGUACCUUGCACAUUGCAUUAAAAAACUGGUUUCAGGGUAGCUGAAGCCUCUGGAGAGCUUACAAACAGGUGUGAUGCCCGAGAGCCUGGUUCUGUCCUGCCUCUUGCUCCACAGUGCAGCGUCUUCACUGAGUGGGAGGGAAUACAGCUCAUCUCCGAGACGUUGUCCGGCAGGCACGGGAAGCACCCUGUAAGAGACAAGCCCAUCACUGACUGGCCAGGACUCCCAGCUGCCUCUGGCAGCACCUUUGCUCUGGGGAAGAGCAUCAUGAUUGGAUUUCUUUCCUAAAAGGUUUACAUUCAUUUUGGACAAGUUCUCUUCAGUUGUGUUCCUGGGAGUUCAGCAAAAAUCAAGGAGACCAGAGGCUGCUGAUUUUCACAAGAGAGCAAAAAGCCAACCUGUGGCAGUGGCAAAUAUAACAAGGACAGUCCCAUUAAACAGAACCAUCUGAGUCAUGGAUACAAUGAGAUCAAAGACUCUGAAGGGCUGUGUGCUGGAAAGACUGAAAAGGCUUUAUUGGUCACAGCAGAAAUCUUAUCUACAGAAGCAGCUGAGGUACUGCUGCAGCUCAGAGGCAGAUCUUCUUGGCUGUAUCAGCAGGAAACACUGGGUAGAAGUACAACAGCAGAAAUGACGUUAUUUCAUAUGCAGCAGUGGACACAUCCAAGUCUGAUAUAGCUCUGGCUUAAGGAGAGACAUAGCAAGAGACACCUACAGAUCGCUCAAGUCUUCUAGAUUCAAAGAGAAAUGAUACUCUAGUGUGUUCAUCUGACCUUCCCAGGGACACAGGGCUUCCUACAGAAGCAGAGGAACCACCUUUGACUGACAGCACUCUGCCUGCAGACAACACAGGCUCAGGCACAGGCACCUGGGCAGCAGUUGUCUCUCUCUCUCCCAAGGCCAUGUAUUAAAAACACAUGCUGAAAGUUUGGGGAAAACUGAGGAAAGUUUGGGGGAAGCUCAGAAAAAGCAGUAAUGUCUCCUUUUUUACUCUUUAAUGGCCAUAACAAAUCACUGAUUGCACUUGAACAAUCUUCCUUCAAGCCCAGAGCCACCACAACAUGGAUUUGAGCUCUCAAAAAUAAAUGCCCUCCUGAUGAAGCAAGUAGGAAAGCUGGGGAAUCUCAAGCUGUUCCUCAAAGCAAAUAUCAAGGCAAAAUGUGUGGCCAGUAAAUAGCUACAAGGAGAAAAGAUUUUGUCUGAUCUUGAGGGUUCUUCAUUCCAACACUUUAAGCCAAAGCAGCUUUGUAAGAGAGAUGUGGCACAUAAUCACUUCAAAGUAGCAACAGACCCACACACACUGCAGUGGAUUGACUGAGAAUGUAAAGGACUCAAUUUUGAUUCUACUUUUCCCCAGGAGUUUGUUGUUGGGUUUUCUGGUCUCCCACAACAAGUGUGUGUAUCUCUUCACUGUGUAUUUAUCAUUACCAACAGCAUCCUCUCCCUGUUUAGUACCGACCAUCUUUCAGGGCACUUCUGGCUGUGCAGGUUUGGCCACAGCAGCCAGUAUCUGGGACAUUUGCUUGAGUCCUUUCCUAACUCUCACUUACCUCUGGUGUUUUUUCCCUGCACACUCAGUCUUGCUCAUCAUUAUCAGUUUUAUGAGAACAUUUCUUUAGCAGCAUCACUGGAUCCAACCUUCCCCUGGGACUAUAUUCUCUUGUCUGCACCAGUCAGUUCACAGCUGUGCAUGAAGGCAGAAAACCCCCCUUCUAGCUAGAAACAUUAGUGCCAACUGAAACACUUUAUGAACUGGGAGAAAAGCAGCUUUUAUUUUAGGAACAGCAAUUAAAUGGCCACUACAUGAGCCCUACACAGAUAAUCUCUGCCAGCAGUCCUCAGGGCAAUGACAAUGUUCCUAACCAGAUGCACAGAAGCAUCUUACUCUACAACUUGUGUUCCUUGCUCUGAUUUGGUGGUUGCUCUGAGUCCCACAAGCAUCCACUGCUCUGGAUGUCCCUAACUCACCCAUGUGGGAAUAACUUGGCACCCACUCCCACCACACUCUCUGCUAUGCCAAGAUAAAAACGCUGCCAGCUGCCAUAUGUGUCUGUCGAGUGCUGGGAAGCUCUGCCAUCUCUCCUGAGCACAUUUUGCACUCAGUCUUUGCUUUUUCAUCCUUUUGCUUGCAUUUUGAUACAGAUAAUGCAACAUCACUCAUUGUAGCUGGGGGAUCCUGGGGCCUCAAGGGAUGGCACUGCUGGUCCUCCCCAGUACCCAUCACCAAAAGGGAAACAUCCCAUUAAAUAUGUCAAGUUUCAGCCUUGCACAAUCCAAAAGAUGAAUAAGAAUUAUUAAUGCUUUGGCCUACAGCUGCUUUUUAGUAACUUCUUCUUUUGCUCUUGAAGCUGUAAGGGUUUGCAGUAGACCCUGAAAAGCAGCACUCAUCACAGGCAAGAGAAAAAUCAAUAGAUUCAAGCACAGCCAUAGCCAGAGACAAGAACAGCAAUUUGCCCCAUUGUAGUUGGAGUCCUUGGGGUCCUCUGCACUGUCAAAUCCACACAGGCUGAGUGUUUUACAUUCCUCAGCUGACUGUGGUCUAGUUUCAGGGAGGAGCAGCAUGGGGCUAUUGUCCAUGCUCUCGUGGAUGGGGUGUAGGCCUGGGACUGCUCCCUCCACCUCCCCAAAUGCUGGGGUGAGCUUAGAGCCUCCCUGAUCUGUUUUCUGCUGAAUUAUUACUCAGAAUACCCGUGGGAACUGUAUUUUUGCACUGAGCACAAUGCUGGGAGUGUUUGCACACACCUGGGGAAAGGCAGCCUUAGGCAAUGCAGGUCUCCAGACUCUAUUCAAAUUGCAUUAGGAGGCUCAUGGUCACUUCAGGCAUGAAGGCAGCUCUGCAGACAUACACCAGGAAAACCUGGGGCACUGAGGGGCUUCCUCUUACCAAUCCCAGAUCACAGAAUCUUAAGGGUUAGAAGAGGCCUCGAAAGCUCAUCCAGUGCAACUCCCCUGCCAGAGCAGCAGCACCUAGAGCAGGGCAC
Molecule: long non-coding RNA, 4762 nt
Organism: Colius striatus (speckled mousebird)
Lineage: Eukaryota; Metazoa; Chordata; Aves; Coliiformes; Coliidae
Exons: 4
Source: RefSeq, a predicted model, not a curated record